RNA transcript from Mirounga angustirostris (Northern elephant seal), 8501 nucleotides. It is a transcript of the gene named centrosomal protein 170B, with no coding region annotated. Lineage: Eukaryota; Metazoa; Chordata; Mammalia; Carnivora; Phocidae. The record is from RefSeq and is a predicted model, not a curated record. The transcript is spliced from 21 exons.
GUGGGCUCAGCCGGGGCUGCCGCGAGCGUGCGGGCCGCGCCGGGCAUGUCCUAGGCGGCGGCCCCGCCCAGCGCUCGGCCGGCGGGCGGGAGGGCCGGGGCCGAGCCGGGGCCGAGCCGGGGCCGAGCCGCAGGGCCGGACAGGCCUGGCCAGUGCCAAGAUGAGUGUCACCUCCUGGUUUCUGGUGAGCAGCAGUGGUAACCGCCACCGGCUUCCGCGAGAGCUCAUCUUCGUGGGGCGUGAUGAGUGUGAGCUCAUGCUGCAGUCUGUGUGUCCCCAGUCCCGCAGCGUGGACAAGCAGCAUGCUGUCAUCAACUACGAUCAGGACAGGGAUGAGCACUGGGUGAAGGACCUGGGAAGCCUGAACGGGACCUUCGUGAAUGACGUGCGCAUCCCGGACCAGAAGUACGUCACGCUGAAGCUCCAUGACGUCAUCCGAUUCGGCUACGAUUCCAACAUGUACGUGCUGGAGCGCGUGCAGCACCGGGUCCCCGAGGAGGCGCUCAGGCACGAGAAGUAUACCAGCCAGCUGCAGGUGAGCGUCAAGGGCCCGGCCCCCAGGAAGGGCGAAGCGCUGCCCCAGCACACCCCUUACUGCGAGUCCUUGGGUCCCAGGCCGGAGAGGGGGGACCGGAGGCCAGGGGCAGAGACGGCGGCCUACCGCACACCCCUGUAUGGGCAGCCCUCCUGGUGGGGGGAGGACGACAGCGGCAGCCCCCCCGAGGACCGGCGCCAGGAGGAGCCCUACGCAGAGCGGCCCAAGGAGCCGGCCCAGCCGGACGGGGAGCUCCCAGGGACGAUUGGCUUCCGGGCGGCGGCGGAGCCUCAGGGCUGCUCGUUCAGGCGGGAGCCCAGUUACUUUGAGAUCCCCACGAAGGAGGCCCCGCCGCCGCCGCCACCGCCGCGGCCCCCUGCGGCGCCGGCCCACGAGGCUCCCGCCACGGCCCCCAUGGUGCAGAGCCACGCCUCCUUCACCAUCGAGUUCGACAACUGCAGCCCCGGCAAGGUGAAGAUCAAGGACCACGUCACCAAGUUCUCGCUGCGCCAGAGACGGCCCCCAGACAAGGAGGCCACACCUGUGGAGGCCGUGUCUGCCGAGACCAAGGUGGCCGACUGGCUGGCGCAGAGCGACCCGAGCCUGCUGUGCCGGGCGGGCCCUGGGGAUGACCGCCACAGCACCAAGAGCGACCUGCCCGUCCACACCCGCACCCUGAAGGGCCACAAGCAUGAGGACGGCACGCAGAGCGACUCGGAGGACCCCGCGGCCAAGGCAGCGGUGGCGACGGCCGGGGUCCCUGCAGAGGGCAGCGGGACGCAGGCGCGGCUGCACAGACAGAUGAAGCGGGACCCCCAGGAGCUGCUGCAUAGCCAGCAGGCCUUUGUCAUCGAGUUCUUCGACCAGGACACGCCCCGCAAGAAGCGCUCCCAGUCCUUCACGCACACCCCUCCGGGGGACCCCAAGGCCGACAAGCGCCGAGGCCCCGGGCCGGCGGACAGAGACCGCUCAGGCGUCCCUGCUUCGGCGCGGGGGGCAGGCGGCAGCUCGGGGCCGCAGCGGGCCAGCUCACUCAAGCGGGAGAGGACAGAGGAGCGCCUGGGGGGCCCCUCGCCCGCCUCCCGGGGCUCUGUGCGACCCUUUGGCAGCGUGGGGCGCCGCUCCCGUCUGGCCCAGGACUUCAUGGCCCAGUGCCCGCGGGAGGGCUCCCCGGCCACCCGGCCCGGCCCUGACAAGGCAUCCCCAGCGUCACCGGCCCCCGAGACACCCCGUGGGGCCAGCCCCGUGGCCCCUGCGACCCCACCACCGCCCCCUGCCGACCCCCAGCUGAGCAAGGCUCGCAAACAGGAUGAGGACGACAGCCUGAGCGAUGCGGGGACCUACACCAUCGAGACAGAGGGGCAGGACCCAGAGGUGGAGGAGGCGCGCCAGAUGAUCGACCAGGUCUUUGGGGUACUUGAGUCUCCUGAGCUCUCCAGGGUAUCCUCGGUCACCUUCCGUCCAGUCAUCAGAGGGGACAGAGACGAGGCCAGUGACGGGGUCGCCCAGCGAAUGGCGCUCCUGCAGGAGUUUGCCUCCCGGUCGGUGGGCAUAGCCCCCCAAGGGGAGCUCCAGGGCCUCCCGGUGCCGGGCUCCCCUGGGGGUCAGAAAUGGGUGUCCCGCUGGGCCAGCCUGGCCGACAGCUACUCAGACCCAGGCCUGGCAGGGGAGAGCCCUGGGCACAGAGCGGGGGAGCUGGAGGGGACCCUGCCUGUGCGCCAGCGACGGCGACUCCCACAGCUGCCCAGCGACCGCGCAGACAGCCCUGGGGGCCUCGAGGCCACCAAGAGGAGCGGCCCUGGGCCUCCGGAGCCGGGCAGUGAGCAGGCCGGCUGCCUCUUGGGCCAGGAGGACUUGGAGCCUGACAGCCUCAGUGAUGCCAGUGGGUCUGAUGGUGGGCGGGGCUCCGAGCUGGGUGGGGGCCCGCAGGAGGAGAGACGCAGGAGCCCCCAGGAGGGACCAGCAUGGACGAAGGGCCGGCGCUCGCCAAGGGCCCCUGGAGAGCCAGCCCCCGCCUCUUUCUUCAUUGGGGACCAGAACGCGGAGACAGCCUUCCCCAGGAAGCCAUCGGUGGCUGCAGGGGAGGUGGACGGCCCAGGGCGGGUGGCGAGGGACGGCGUCUCCGUCAGCUCCAGCGGGAGGAUGGUUAUCCAGCUGCGGACAGAGCGGUCCCCAGAGCCCGAGAGCCCUGCCCCGGCCUUGGUGCGACAGGAUAGCUUCAGCAAGGAGCCGGCUGGUGGCCCCCCAGCGCCCGGCCAGCUUCCACGCAUCUCCAGCCACCCCCUCCUGCAGGACCUGGCUGCCGCCCGGGCCUCACGCAUGGACCUGCACCCCCAGGACACCCACCUGAUCCUGAAGGAGACAGAGACAGCCCUGGCAGCCCUGGAGGCCCGGCUGUUCUCCAAGUCCACGGAGGAGGCAGAGGGCCCGAUGGGCAGCACCCCCGGGCCGCCAGACGACUCCCUGUCCGGGGACUCUGACGUGGACACGGGGAGCACAGUCAGCCUGGUCAGUGGUAAGAACGGGCCCAGCCCAACCAGUCCCCAGCCCGCGGGGCCGCAGAAGGAGAAGCCACUGUGCCCACCAGCAGCACAGGACCCGGGGAGCGUCUCCUCGAACAGCGCCCGCGAGCGGCUCUCGGACAAGCAUCGUCGCACUCCGGGCCCCAUGGACGUGGGCCGUGCAGAGCUGGGGAGGCGCCUGGCCGUGCGGUGUGGCACCGGGGCCCGGGCAUCCGCGGACUGGCCUGACGAAGAGCGAGGCUCCGGCCUGGCCCACCCGCCUGGCGCAGACACGGUCAUCUCUGACCACGAGACCCCUGUGGCCCCUGGGGCGGGGCGGCCAGGGCCUCGCCGGAAACCGGCACCUGCAGCGCCAUCCCCGGCUCCACGGGAAGAGCAGGGCCGUGGCUCCGCCCAGAAGGUGCAGCAGGUGCUGACCCGCUCCAACAGCCUGUCCACCCCUCGGCCCACACGGGCCUCCCGGCUGAGGCGGGCCCGGCUGGGGGAUGCCUCGGACACGGAGGCUGCCGAUGGCGAACGGGGGCCCCCGGCCAACCCCGAGCCGGCGGGGCGGCCAGCCCCCGAGCAGGCCAAGAAGCUGUCGCGCCUGGACAUCCUGGCCAUGCCCCGAAAGCGGGCAGGCUCCUUCACCGGGCCCAGCGACUCCGAGGCGGCCCCCGCCCGCGCCGGCUUCUCUGGCCGCAGCAUCGACUUGUACUGCUCUGGCCGUAAACCCGUUGUGGCCGAGGCUCGGGCCGCCGCUGCCAGGAAGGCUGCCAAUACCACCACGGCCCCCCGCCAGCCCUUUAGCAGGGCCCGCCCGGGCAGUGCCCGAUACUCCUCACCCAGCACGCGUCGCCGGCAGCAGGGCUCGGAUUGCACGUCCACAUCCGAGGAGGAGUACGGCUCCCACCACGGCUCCCCCCCACACACACACUCCCAUGCCUCAACAGCCACGCAGACCCCGCGGGCUGGCAGCUCCAGCCGGACUCGCUCCCGGGCCCCCAUCCCCCGGGACACAGAUGAUGAGGAAGAAGAUCCUGACCCCUACGGCUUUAUUGUGCAGACGGCAGAGAUCGCUGAGAUCGCCAGGCUGAGCCAGACACUAGUGAAGGAUGUGGCCAUCCUGGCCCGGGAGAUCCACGACGUGGCUGGGGACGGCGACUCGCUGGGCUCGCCGGGGCCCGCCCGCAGCCCCUCCCUCAGCAACGUGCCCAGCACCCCUGCUUCAACCAUCUCCGCCCGUGAGGAGCUGGUGCAGCGCAUCCCCGAGGCCAGCCUCAACUUCCAGAAGGUGCCCCCUGGCUCCCUGAGCUCUCGAGACUUGGACCAGAACAUGAACGACCGCUGUGAGGACCCCCUCGCCAGCAAGAUGCGGCCUCGGAGCCGCGAGGAGGUGAUCUUUGACAACCUGAUGCUGAACCCCGUGUCCCAGCUGUCCCACGCCAUCCGGGAGAACACGGAGCACCUCGCCGAGAAGAUGAAGAUCCUCUUUCAGAACACAGGGCGUGCCUGGGAGGAGGUGGAAGCCAGAAUCAACUCGGAGAACGAGGUGCCCAUCCUGAAGACAUCCAACAAGGAGAUCAGCUCCAUCCUGAAAGAACUGAGGCGCGUGCAGAAGCAACUGGAAGUCAUCAACGCCAUCGUGGACCCCAGCGGGAACCUGGACCUGCUGACCGGGAACCGGGGCUCCGCGGGCUCGGCCCAGCUGGGGAAAGGCCGGCCGGCUGCCCAGAGCCCAUCCUCGCCCCCCUCGGCCCUGCCUCUGAGGAGCUUCCCACAGCGGGCGAACUGCGGGUCCCCGGGCCUCCCGGACCCUGCCUUCCUGCCCGACUUCCUCCCCGAUGCCGAGAGGUUCCUGAUCUAGGCGGCCGGGGCCGGGGCGGCCUCCACGUGCCCUGGGUCCAGCACCUCCGGCCCCUUGUCUGCCGCCACGGCCCUUCCCGGCUGCGGACCGUUCGCCACAGACCCCCACGUGCCAUAACCCUGUGGGCAGGUGCCUCUGUGCCCACAGCCCUCCCUAGCUCCCAGCCGGCGCCCCAGCUGGACGGCCCAGCCCCUGUGGCCACCCCCGCUGGCCUCCUGGCCCAGCUCCUGCUGUGGCCUCCGCCAAGGGCCGGCGUCACAGACCAGGCAUGCUGCAAUGCCCAGACCUUGCCACCAGGGGGUGCUGUGGGCGAGAAAGCAGCAGGGAAGUUUCAGACGUUGCUCCUCAAAAGAGAAGUUAUUUUAUUCCAACAUUCAAGGACAGGACGACCAGAAGCACCCUCAGUGUCUGUGGGACCUGUUUCCGUGCUCUCAUUUUCACCCUAAAUAGUGGUGAUUCAUACCUUCCCUCUCUCUUGCUCAGUCUUGCUGGGGUCUACCAAUUUUGUUACUUUUUGUCUGUCCACACGCACUCAGGACAGAGGACUCGUGCCCAGCAGGAGCAGAGGUGAAAUUACGAAUCCUGCUCAGAGCUGAGUGUCCUCAAGGCUGUACGCACAGGGAGAAGGGUAAGAGAACCCUACCCAGGGCCCGGGAGAGAGCAGGGAAGCUCAUCUCUUUCCCAGGCUCUGGGUGGGAGUAAAAAACCUGCGGUCAGAAAUGGAAACCUCAGAGAAUGCCGAGCAGCUAGUAAACAGAGCUAAAGACGCACCUGAGGCGGCUGGACGUCAGCAGGAUGCAAAGGUUGAGGUGAAGACCUGCAGCAGGGGAGUCGGAGGCACAGGACGCGGGGUGUAGAAGCUCAGCACACACUUCGCCUGAGUUUCACAAUGUGAGGAUACAGAAAAUAGGCAGAGGCCGUAGCCAAAGAGAUAACGGCUGAGAAUGUUCUAGAAAUGAUCACAGGCAUGAAUCCUCCACUUUAAGAGCUCCAAGCCCCAAGGUGGGUGGAUGAGAACCAUCCUCACCUGGACACGCCACGCUGAAACCCAGAAGACCCAAGACAGAGAGAAAACCUUCAAAGCAAACGGGGAGGUAAGAGAAGCAGCCUUCAGAGGGACAGCAGGUGGACGGACGCCCAUUCCUCCACGGGGAGCCGCGUCCGAGGUCGGGACCUUCAGCGACUGGAAGAGAAUUGUCACCCAGCUAAACCGUCAUUCCAGAGUGAGGGAGAGACAUUCUCGGACGGUGAAGCCUCGAGCUUUCCUGCUUUCCCAGCCGGGAUGCAAGAAUCCAGGAAGGAUGGGAGCUUGGAGAAGGAGGGAUGUGCAAGCCCACCGAGUGAAGAGACCGGGAAAUGGGUGGCACAUCUCAGUAGCCCCUGAGCAGGAGACCAUGACAAUGACUGGGGAGCAUCCCAGAAAAGGGGGGCUGGCACCCCAGAGGUAAAUGAACAGAAUCCCCGAGGCAGUUGUUGGAAGCACAGUUCCUUUUGUUCAGAGGGUGGAGAGAACACUUAGCAGCAGGCUCAAAGCCCAGCCUCCCGUUAGAUGCCAGGGUGGCCAGCCAGGGAGGGGAAGACGAGGGAGUUUGCUUCCAGCCACGUGGUGGAUUCAGGACUUCGAAGAGCAAGACGUGGAUAAAGGAUGACGAAAACGCACGCAAAUGCUUUGUCAGACUCCACGGAGCACGCCUUGGCUGGACUGGGGCCACGGUUGCAGCUCGGUGAGGCCCGGUUAGGCCCUGGUCUGCCUGAUGCCGGGGGUUCUGCCUCAGCUGGGGGUUCGCCCGAUGCUGGGGGACCUGCCCGACAUUGGGGGACCUGCCCAAUGCUGGGAGAUCUGCAUGAUGCUGGAGGUUCACCCGAUGUUGGGGGGCCUGCCCGACACUGGGGGGCCUGCCCGACACUGGGGGAUCUGUGUGAUGCUGGGGGUUCUGCCCCAGCUGGGGGGGCCUGCCCGACACUGGGGGGUCUGCCCAAUGCUGGGAGUGAUCGAGGACCACUCUCCCCGUCAGCACCCAAAGGUGGACAACCCACUUGCCGGCGAAUGAACUUGCGGAAACCUGUUGGUGUCCACCUCCGCUUUGGGUAAAAAACAAAAGGAAACAAACUCUGUUGUGUGAAGGGGGCCCAUGGGUAGACGUGGGGUGAAGCAGAUGACGUGCUCAUGGGAGCAGCCCGGUGUGCAGCCCACGGACUUGUGGAGAGGCCACACCGGACCAGGGGGCUGCAGUGAAUUAGCCAUUCUUGUCAUUUCUAUAAACUGAUGUUUUAUUACAAUCAGCCCCAAGCAAACUGGUCCUCACGAUGGACACCAGGAGCCUUGAGAGAGUUGUAAGCUCCGCAUUCACACCGCAGGGAACACAGGCUCACGGACUCCCCAGGGGCAUGCGUAGCCUAAGGCUGCUCCCUGGCCCCGCUCUCCUUCCCGCAGAAACCGCGGGCAAGCAGUGCUCCCAGCUGCCCCCUCCGCCUGUGCCCAAGCCCCGCGCUGCCCUGGGGUCCCGUGCCGGCUGUGAGGAUAAUAACCAUAAACCUUUCCCACACGUGUGGGGUCCUGCCAGACCUCACCUGCAAGGACACGAUUAAAACAGGGAGUCGGACCGCACCCCUGAAGAUGUGGGAGCAUCAGGGGUCACCUGGGGGGCGGCUUCAUCAUAAAGGGGACCUUCUGGGUCUCGGGACUCGGUGUCAGCUCCUUCUUUCCUCGGUCUAACUCAGAAACCUUGCCCCCGCAUCCUUCUAAGCUCUAGACAGAAGGAACAACGAGCCCGGGGGGACUGGCCCUUCCAGCCUCCAAGGCUGGGACAGUAAAUGCCUGCUGUGUGAGCCGCCGAGGCGCAGCUCUGCGCUGCAGGAGCUCCAGCAAGCCGGCGAACACGCUCCGUAGGCACGGGAAGCACACGCGGUGUGUGCCACACGGGAUCAGGAAAGGAAACUGUUGGUGGCGCCCGGCUGGCUCAGUCCAUACAGUGUGUGACUCUUGAUCUCGGGGUCAUGAGUUCGAGCUCUGCAUUGGGUGUAGAGAUGACUUAAAUAAAUAAACUUAAAAAAAAAAAGGAAGCCACCUAGCUACACCCUAGUAACAGUGAAGAACACCACAGACAAGGAGAAGGUUUUAAAAACAACCACAGAGUAAAGAAAUCCCUUACACAGGAAUGAUGGCAGUUCUCAGCAAUAACAGGACCCUAAGGACCUCGGAUUCCAGGGAAAAUAACUGUCUAUCAAGAAUUCUGUGCCUGGAGGGGCGCCUGGGUGGCUCAGUCGUUAAGUGUCUGCCUUCAGGGCGCCUGGGUGGCUCAGUCGGUUAAGCGACCGCCUUCGGCUCAGGUCAUGAUCCUGGAGUCCCGGGAUCGAGUCCCGCAUCAGGCUCCCUGCUCGGCAGGGGGUCUGCUUCUCCCUCUGACCCUCCUCCCUCUCAUGCUCUCUGUCUCUCAUUCUCUCUCUCUCAAAUAAAUAAAUAAAUAAAUAAAAUUUAAAAGUGUCUGCCUUCAGCUUGGCUCAGGUCGUGAUCGCAGGUCCCAGGAUCGAGCCGCGCAUCGGGCUCCCUGCUCCUUGGGAAAACUGCUUCUCCCUCUGCCACUCCCCCUGCUUGUGU